AAGAGAAGCCUCUCAAUUCGUGGAGCUCUCGCCUCUCGAGAUAGUAUUUCAGGGACGAUUCCAUUCAAAUCGUUGAGCUUGAAGCACUCAGAGCGCGGUUUCUUCGUGGACUCGGUGGCACUGGCUAAGCAGAUCUGGAAGGUAAGCAAACUGGAGUCUCUAGAAGCUUCGAUUGAAGCUGCAUUCGAAGCUAUCAGAUCUCGUGGAACUAAUUCUCAUGUCGUUCUAAGUCAUUACGGUUGGAGAAUUUAAGUGCCUGCUUGGUGCUAAACCAACUCUUAAGAAGGAACUGAUAGGUGCACCCAUUGUGACUCAUCCAAAAUCAUUGAAAUUGCCAAAGGAGUUUGAUACAAGGACUCAAUGGUCUCAGUGUAGUACCAUUGGAACAAUUAUAGAUCAGGAUCAUUGUGGUUCUUGUUGGGCAUUUGGUGCUGUAGAGUCAUUAUCAGAUUGAUUUUGCAUUCAUUUUGAUGUGUGGGUGGUGAAUCUGGUAGAAGGAGCUACUCUAGUGCCAAGUUACCAUUCAAUUUCAAAUGCUUGCUAGAUGAAGUGUUUAGUGAGUGCUCAAUCUAGAUUGCUUAUGGAGAUGAUGUACCUUCAUUACUUCAACAGCAUAUUGUGAAAGGAGAGAUUAUAGACUCCUUAUGGAGGGGUCAGAUGGCUUUAUCAGAAGAUGAACAAAUCAAGAGCCAAGAACAAAGGUUUCUGCUUAAUGGUUUGGGAAGUUUCGAAGAAGGCAAUGCAAUGUACAGAUCUGAAGACAACUCUGGGGGAUGCUGCCAAACAAAUUUGAAUGUCAUCAUCAUGCUUCCCUACAACUGUACUAAUAGAUUUCAUAUCCAAACCCAAGUGAUGACAUUUCAUUCAAUGUCAUAAAUCCUACUUUGUAUCUUGUGCACAAGAAAUUUAUGGAUUUCUUAUGAUUUAUGAAUCAUGUGCAUCCUUUAUUGAUAAGUCAUAUUUGCUCUUUCUGAACAAUUCUUUUAAGCAUAUGUCAUAUAAUGAUGCCUUCUAGAUUGAUUAUUCAGCUUUGUGAAACCGAAAAUUAUUAUUCACUUCCAACUAUCAAUUGCUUUGAUGAAGAACUUUAUUGAAUUUAUUCACUAUUACAUGCUUUAUUAAGGACAAGAGAAUAUCUUGAAUAAUACUGUUGAUGUAACUAGGAUGAUGGUUCUAGAGCUCAUAACAGGGAGAAAGAUGAUCUCAACCAUGCAAUGUCACGAUCUUCAGCAGAAGAUUUAAAGCGACCAAAUGGAUAUAAUUGGGGGACAGACAAUGAUGAUUAUGGAAAAGCAUUUCAAGAUAGUUUGAACUCAUCUGCAUACCCUCCAUAUUUUAUUUGUUAGCUUUUUAAACUUUGAUUUUAUUUUUAUGUUUUAUUGAACUUUAUUGAAUUUAUUCAUCAUUACAUGCUUUAUUGACAGACCCAAGUGUCUUGUUUUAUAUUUCAAAGUAUUUUUGUGUUAAAUUUUGUUCAAAUAUGUAAUAUUUUAAUUUCCUUCUAAAUUUUUAAUGUCUUAUUUAAAGAUUUCUUUUAAAUGAUAAUUGAUUAGUAGUAUAAUAAUGUAAUUCUAGUAUUCAGAUUAAUUG
This is a non-coding RNA of Arachis ipaensis, 1590 nucleotides long. NCBI's taxonomy places the organism in Eukaryota, Viridiplantae, Streptophyta, Magnoliopsida, Fabales, Fabaceae. The record is from RefSeq and is a predicted model, not a curated record.